This 556-nucleotide ribosomal RNA is filed under the name uncultured bacterium. RNAcentral describes it as "partial 16S ribosomal RNA". It matches the Rfam family "Bacterial small subunit ribosomal RNA", at positions 355 to 928 of the family's 1533-position model. The record is from RNAcentral.
UGGGGAAUAUUGCACAAUGGGCGAAAGCCUGAUGCAGCAACGCCGCGUGAGUGAUGAAGGCCUUCGGGUUGUAAAGCUCUGUCUUUUGGGACGAUAAUGACGGUACCAAAGGAGGAAGCCACGGCUAACUACGUGCCAGCAGCCGCGGUAAUACGUAGGUGGCAAGCGUUGUCCGGAUUUACUGGGCGUAAAGGAUGCGUAGGCGGAUUUUUAAGUGAGAUGUGAAAACCCUAAGCUUAACUUGGGGACUGCAUUUCAUACUGGAAAUCUAGAGUGCGGGAGAGGAGAAUGGAAUUCCUAGUGUAGCGGUGAAAUGCGUAGAGAUUAGGAAGAACACCAGUGGCGAAGGCGAUUCUCUGGACCGUAACUGACGCUGAGGCAUGAAAGUGUGGGUAGCAACAGGAUUAGAUACCCUGGUAGUCCACGCCGUAAACGAUGAGUACUAGGUGUAGGAGGUAUCGACCCCUUCUGUGCCGCAGUUAACACAAUAAGUACUCCGCCUGGGAAGUACGAUCGCAAGAUUAAAACUUAAAGGAAUUGACGGGGGUCAUAGCUG